UCUAAAAAGUUAUGCAAAAGCUAAACAUUUACCUUGAGCUGCUGAAAUGGCGGCGGUUUCACGGUACCGUCGCUUUCACCGACAGUAAAACGUAAAACCCGGUCGUGGUAACACCAGAGUCCAAACCACGCGCUCCUAGAGCCGACAAUGCACAAAUAUCGAUGGAUUUCGUUGGCUAUGGAUUUUAACGGAUAUGUGACACUAGCGGCACCUAGAAAAGUUGAAAACUACAUGACGUCGGGGUUAAACAUCAAUAAAUAAAUAAAUUGGUAGCGUUUGUUUUAUUCAUACAUUAGUUUGGUGACUUAUCAAUUUAAACAAAUCUCCACAGACAAAUUAUAACAGCACAGUCGUACCGUCGGUGUCAUCCUUGGUGUUAUCCUACGUUGAUUUCAUGAAUUGCAGUUUACACCAACACGCUCGGCAACAAGCAGUAAAAUAAUUAUGCCUAAUUUUUAACAACAAACAAGAAAAGUAGCGAGAAGUAUAUUCUUAUUGAAUCAUAUACCGACUAACCACUGAUCGGUAUAGCCAGCUUCGCGACCUCACCUGUCUCGGCUGGCAACCCGAUUUUCGAGUUUUGUUCUUUUUCUUUGUUUCUUCCGUGUCCACGUUGUUGCUGUCGCGUGUCAACGGUUAUACAACGGUGUUACUAAAAUAUUUUUAUUUCUGUUUUAAGUAGUAUGGUGCGUGUGUGGCAGUACUCACGUUGGACAAUGUUCCAGAAGAACUUUUCGUCUAGUUGAACUAUCUGCUUGAGUUGUCCAUUUCGGCACAUCCAGUCUGCGACUGUGAGCUACAGGUACGUUGACGGUGUAUGUGAAAAUUGCACGCACUCAUGCCUUUGUCAACUUGUUUUCUUAGGUCUGCACGGUGGAGAGGGGCUUCCCCACGCCUGGGUCAAGCACAUCCAGUCUGCCGCUGUGAGCUACAGACGGACACUCCCUCCAAGGUCUGACUAGGACAUGGGUCAGACAACAGCAAGACAGCUGCUAAAUAUAUGGCAGAAGAGCUUUCCAGGGCAGAAAGGUAUUGCACAGUUGACAAAAAGGGCGACUGUCGAGGAGUGGAGCCACCAGAAGAUCUGGAGAAAAUGCAUACUAUUAAAAUUAUCAUCUUAUUUCAAUAUA
Molecule: long non-coding RNA, 1130 nt
Organism: Ixodes scapularis (black-legged tick)
Lineage: Eukaryota; Metazoa; Arthropoda; Arachnida; Ixodida; Ixodidae
Exons: 3
Source: RefSeq, a predicted model, not a curated record